AGGAUGGUUGGAUGGUUGGUUCUUGUGGCAUCCCCCUUCUGUCUUAUGUACACCUCCUUGCUAUAAACCCUGCCUUGUGAACAGAGGUGUAACUAGAAACCAAGGGGGCCCGGUGCAAAAUUACCCUAGCAGAUACAUAGGGCACACACUGACAUAGAAAUAUGCAGACAUACAUAUACGCAUAUAGACACACAUGCACAUGCCGACAAACAGAAACACAUACAGGCACACAUACAGACAAACACACACACAUACAGUGACACACAUAGAUACAGAUAAAGACACACACACAGGCACACACAUGCAUACAGAUGAGCACACAUACAUAGACAC
Molecule: non-coding RNA, 333 nt
Organism: Pelobates cultripes (western spadefoot toad)
Lineage: Eukaryota; Metazoa; Chordata; Amphibia; Anura; Pelobatidae
Source: the annotation of a GenBank genome assembly